This 314-nucleotide unclassified non-coding RNA is filed under the name uncultured Bionectriaceae. Its description in RNAcentral is "sequence contains ITS1". The stretch from base 1 to 105 matches the Rfam family "5.8S ribosomal RNA", at positions 50 to 154 of the family's 154-position model. Lineage: Eukaryota; Fungi; Ascomycota; Sordariomycetes; Hypocreales. The record is from RNAcentral.
GAAACGCGAUAUGUAAUGUGAAUUGCAGAAUUCAGUGAAUCAUCGAAUCUUUGAACGCACAUGGCGCCCGCCAGUAUUCUGGCGGGCAUGCCUGUCUGAGCGUCAUUUCAACCCUCAUGCCCCUGUGGGCGUGGUGUUGGGGAUCGGCCAAGGCCCGCAAGGGACGGCCGGCCCCUAAAUCUAGUGGCGGACCCGCUGUGGCCUCCUCUGCGUAGUAGUAAUAUUCCGCAUUGAAGAGCAGCGAGCCCCUGCCGUUAAACCCCCAACUUCUCAAGGUUGACCUCAGAUCAGGUAGGAAUACCCGCUGAACUUAA